This 1166-nucleotide ribosomal RNA is filed under the name Bacillus pumilus. Its description in RNAcentral is "bacterial SSU rRNA". It matches the Rfam family "Bacterial small subunit ribosomal RNA", at positions 134 to 1284 of the family's 1533-position model. The record is from RNAcentral. Lineage: Bacteria; Bacillati; Bacillota; Bacilli; Caryophanales; Bacillaceae.
AAGACUGGCUUAACUCCGGGAAACCGGAGCUAAUACCGGAUAGUUCCUUGAACCGCAUGGUUCAAGGAUGAAAGACGGUUUCGGCUGUCACUUACAGAUGGACCCGCGGCGCAUUAGCUAGUUGGUGAGGUAACGGCUCACCAAGGCGACGAUGCGUAGCCGACCUGAGAGGGUGAUCGGCCACACUGGGACUGAGACACGGCCCAGACUCCUACGGGAGGCAGCAGUAGGGAAUCUUCCGCAAUGGACGAAAGUCUGACGGAGCAACGCCGCGUGAGUGAUGAAGGUUUUCGGAUCGUAAAGCUCUGUUGUUAGGGAAGAACAAGUGCAAGAGUAACUGCUUGCACCUUGACGGUACCUAACCAGAAAGCCACGGCUAACUACGUGCCAGCAGCCGCGGUAAUACGUAGGUGGCCAAGCGUUGUCCGGGAAUUAUUGGGCGUAAAGGGCUCGCAGGCGGUUUCUUAAGUCUGAUGUGAAAGCCCCCCGGCUCAACCGGGGAGGGUCAUUGGAAACUGGGAAACUUGAGUGCAGAAGAGGAGAGUGGAAUUCCACGUGUAGCGGUGAAAUGCGUAGAGAUGUGGAGGAACACCAGUGGCGAAGGCGACUCUCUGGUCUGUAACUGACGCUGAGGAGCGAAAGCGUGGGGAGCGAACAGGAUUAGAUACCCUGGUAGUCCACGCCGUAAACGAUGAGUGCUAAGUGUUAGGGGGUUUCCGCCCCUUAGUGCUGCAGCUAACGCAUUAAGCACUCCGCCUGGGGAGUACGGUCGCAAGACUGAAACUCAAAGGAAUUGACGGGGGCCCGCACAAGCGGUGGAGCAUGUGGUUUAAUUCGAAGCAACGCGAAGAACCUUACCAGGUCUUGACAUCCUCUGACAACCCUAGAGAUAGGGCUUUCCCUUCGGGGACAGAGUGACAGGUGGUGCAUGGUUGUCGUCAGCUCGUGUCGUGAGAUGUUGGGUUAAGUCCCGCAACGAGCGCAACCCUUGAUCUUAGUUGCCAGCAUUCAGUUGGGCACUCUAAGGUGACUGCCGGUGACAAACCGGAGGAAGGUGGGGAUGACGUCAAAUCAUCAUGCCCCUUAUGACCUGGGCUACUCACGUGCGACAACGGACCGAACAAAGGGCUGCUAGACGGCAAGGUUUAGCCAAUCCCACAAAUCUG